Molecule: unclassified non-coding RNA, 320 nt
Filed under: Hevea brasiliensis (rubber tree)
Lineage: Eukaryota; Viridiplantae; Streptophyta; Magnoliopsida; Malpighiales; Euphorbiaceae
Source: RNAcentral
AAAAAAAAUGGAGGCUGAUGUAAAUGCCGCCUGGAUCGAUGCGGAAAUUAUGGAAAAAAAAAUUAAAAAGAAAGUGGGGGCAAAAGAGAGGAUAUGAAGACCGUAUGGUGAUUGAAUUGAAUCUACAAUUUUUUUCCAGACGAGAUGGUGGCUUGCUGGCAACUAAAUCAAGUGUGUUCUAUUUCAUGUAAAUGACCCACUAAUUUUAGCCCCAACUUCUUUUUUCUUUUUUUAUUUGGAUUUUGGUUUUUCUGCUUGCUUUCCUUUACUUGUAGGUGGUGAUUAUCAAAAUGUUGCCAUAACCCCCGUGGAUUUGGAUU